AGAGUUUGAUCAUGGCUCAGGACGAACGCUGGCGGCGUGCUUAACACAUGCAAGUCAAGGGGGCCCAGCAAUGGGCAACCGGCGAACGGGUGCGUAACACGUGAGCAACCUACCGAACUGUGGGGGAUAGCCGGCCUAACGGCCGAGUAAUACCGCAUACGCUCUCAGUGAGGCAUUUCAUUGAGAGGAAACCUACGGGACAGAUCGAGGGGCUCGCGGCCUAUCAGCUAGUUGGCGAGGUAACGGCUCACCAAGGCAACGACGGGUAGCUGGUCUGAGAGGAUGGCCAGCCACAUUGGGACUGAGAUACGGCCCAGACUCCUACGGGAGGCAGCAGUGGGGAAUCUUGCGCAAUGGCCUAACGGCUGACGCAGCGACGCCGCGUGUGGGAUGAAGCUCUUCGGAGUGUAAACCACUGUUGCCCGGGACGAACAGCUCGAUUAGUCGAGCCUGACGGUACCGGGUGAGGAAGCACCGGCUAACUCCGUGCCAGCAGCCGCGGUAAUACGGGGGGGUGCGAGCGUUGUCCGGAAUCACUGGGCGUAAAGGGCGCGUAGGUGGUUUGAUAAGGGUGUGGUGAAAGUCCGGGGCUCAACCCCGGAUCUGCCGUGCCGACUGUCAAACUCGAGGGCUGUAGAGGCAGACGGAAUUCCGGGUGUAGCGGUGGAAUGCGUAGAGAUCCGGAGGAAGACCGGUGGCGAAGGCGGUCUGCUGGGCAGUUUCUGACACUGAGGCGCGACAGCGUGGGGAGCAAACAGGAUUAGAUACCCUAGUAGUCC
This 779-nucleotide ribosomal RNA is filed under the name uncultured bacterium. Its description in RNAcentral is "bacterial SSU rRNA". It matches the Rfam family "Bacterial small subunit ribosomal RNA", at positions 8 to 796 of the family's 1533-position model. The record is from RNAcentral.